CCCCCCCCCCCCCCCCGGCCUGUUGCAAGAACGUGCGUCGUGCUGCCGAUCGGCCGGCUCUUGCGGACUCGGUUGUGCGCGCCAUGGCACUGGACGCGACGUCCCUUCCGGUGCUGUCCGUCCCCGCCCUCGAAGUCUGCUCGGGAACGCGAAGAACCGGGAACGGUGGCGGCGUUUCGUCCGCGCCGGGCGCGGAGGUGUCCGUGGACGUGCCGGUGCUGUGGAGUGACGAGGGGAGGAUGAAGCGGGAGCUGGUCGCGUGGGCCAAGGCCGUGGCGUCCAUGGCCAUCAGGGAGACGAUGCGCGCGGAGCUGACUGCCGAUUAAUAAGGCGGAACUUCCCUUCGUGCAUAGAGCGAGCCACAAGUCUGUGUGCUUUUGUCUCCUAUUUCCUUGUGCUGGGUCUUUUCUUUGCCGAGCAAACCUAUUCACGCAACCAAGCACGGCGGCCGCGGCGGCGGCUUUGUAGCGUGGUGGUGGCAUGUACAAGUUUUUUUCCCCAGUCGUGGUCUGUUGAUCAUUUCGGCAUGUACAUGAUUUUUUUUCCCGAAAAGGAUGCAAGAGAGAACUUGAGAUGUUUUGUCGCACAGAA
This is a long non-coding RNA of Zea mays, 591 nucleotides long. RefSeq lists it as uncharacterized. The record is from RefSeq and is a predicted model, not a curated record. Lineage: Eukaryota; Viridiplantae; Streptophyta; Magnoliopsida; Poales; Poaceae. The transcript has a single exon.